This 379-nucleotide ribosomal RNA is filed under the name Quercus ithaburensis subsp. macrolepis. Lineage: Eukaryota; Viridiplantae; Streptophyta; Magnoliopsida; Fagales; Fagaceae. The record is from RNAcentral.
CUCCUGGGAAGUCCUCGUGUUGCACCCCUCUCUUUUUCUUCGCGUUUUUUUCGUUGGGGUUGUCGUUUGCGGCGGUCCAGCACGCUCGCUCUGCAUGCACCCCUUUGAUCUUCCCUGCAUUUAUUUUUUUUCUCGCUGGGCUUAUCGUGUACGUCGGUCCAGCACGCUCGCUUUGGAGGCUUAGCCCGCCCCAGGCCAAAAGCACGAGCCGCAGAUCUCGUUUCGGGUGCUAAAGCGUCGCGGGGACGUCGAAAUGCGCGGAAGCCCCUCGGGCUGCACCUCUCCGGCGGUAAGGUGCAUUGUUGCGUUCGGAUCCUUUUAUAAGAAUUAAACGCGCUUAUGCUGAUGGGUGCGAUCAUACCAACACUAAUGCACCGGA